UGGGGAAUAUUGGACAAUGGGGGGAACCCUGAUCCAGCCAUGCCGCGUGUGUGAAGAAGGCCUUAUGGUUGUAAAGCACUUUAAGCGAGGAGGAGGGUACUGGUAUUAAUACUACCAGGUACUGGACGUUACUCGCAGAAUAAGCACCGGCUAACUCUGUGCCAGCAGCCGCGGUAAUACAGAGGGUGCAAGCGUUAAUCGGAAUUACUGGGCGUAAAGCGUGCGUAGGCGGCUAAUUGAGUCGGAUGUGAAAUCCCCGAGCUUAACUUGGGAAUUGCAUUCGAUACUGGUUAGCUAGAGUGUGGGAGAGGAUGGUAGAAUUCCAGGUGUGGCGGUGAAAUGCGUAGAGAUCUGGAGGAAUACCGAUGGCGAAGGCAGCCAUCUGGCCUAACACUGACGCUGAGGUACGAAAGCAUGGGGAGCAAACAGG
RNAcentral lists this ribosomal RNA (430 nucleotides) under Pseudomonadota bacterium. RNAcentral describes it as "Proteobacteria bacterium partial 16S ribosomal RNA". It matches the Rfam family "Bacterial small subunit ribosomal RNA", at positions 355 to 776 of the family's 1533-position model. The record is from RNAcentral. Lineage: Bacteria; Pseudomonadati; Pseudomonadota.